GUCUGUUUGGGGUCUAAUGGUUAGCGCUUCGGACAUGUAACCGGAGGGUUGCCGGUUCGAACCCCGACCAGUAGGCA
Molecule: transfer RNA, 77 nt
Filed under: Alosa alosa (allis shad)
Lineage: Eukaryota; Metazoa; Chordata; Actinopteri; Clupeiformes; Clupeidae
Description: tRNA-OTHER
Source: RNAcentral